CGUCUAGAAUUUCUAACAGGUCUUAUUUUUGCAGUUCCUGACCACCUCGGCUUUAAGAAUAUUCUGCACCCAGGAGGGAGCUACAUUACUUUAAGACUUGCUGGGAGCUGGGACGCCCCUCUGGCAAUCUGUCAGUGCCUGCAUCAACAGUCUCCUUCCUGGGGUAUUUUCUCACCAGACUGACAGUCCUUAAGACAAGUAUGCAGUUAAGCUGCUAAGG
Molecule: long non-coding RNA, 220 nt
Filed under: Cavia porcellus (domestic guinea pig)
Lineage: Eukaryota; Metazoa; Chordata; Mammalia; Rodentia; Caviidae
Description: lncRNA (ENSCPOG00000037798.1)
Source: RNAcentral